UACGUAGGGUCCAAGCGUUAUCCGGAAUCACUGGGCGUAAAGCGUGCGUAGGUGGCGCGUUAAGUGAGAUGUUAAAUCGUGUGGCUCAACCAUAUCGAUGCAUCUCAUACUGGCGUGCUAGAGGACAGCAGAGGCAAGCGGAAUUUGUAGUGUAGCAGUGAAAUGCGUAGAUAUUACAAGGAACACCAAUGGCGAAGGCAGCUUGCUGGGCUACUCCUGACACUGAGGUACGAAAGCGUGGGGAGCGAACAGG
Molecule: ribosomal RNA, 253 nt
Filed under: uncultured bacterium
Lineage: Bacteria
Description: partial 16S ribosomal RNA
Rfam family: Bacterial small subunit ribosomal RNA
Source: RNAcentral